UAGCCCUAGGGGAACCUGGNGCUGGAUCACCUCCUUA
This 37-nucleotide ribosomal RNA is filed under the name Vibrio splendidus. RNAcentral's name for it is "partial 16S ribosomal RNA". Lineage: Bacteria; Pseudomonadati; Pseudomonadota; Gammaproteobacteria; Vibrionales; Vibrionaceae. The record is from RNAcentral.